Molecule: ribosomal RNA, 755 nt
Filed under: uncultured bacterium
Lineage: Bacteria
Description: bacterial SSU rRNA
Rfam family: Bacterial small subunit ribosomal RNA
Source: RNAcentral
GAGUUUGAUCGUGGCUCAGGAUGAACGCUAGCGGCAGGCCUAACACAUGCAAGUCGAGGGGUAACAGGGGAGCUUGCUCCCGCUGACGCCCGGCGCACGGGUGAGUAACACGUAUGCAACCUACCUUUAACUGGGGGAUAGCUUCGAGAAAUCGGAAUUAAUACCCCAUAAUAUUCAUUAAUCACAUGGUUUUUGAAUUAAAGCUCCGGCGGUUAAAGAUGGGCAUGCGGGUCAUUAGUUUGUUGGUGAGGUAACGGCUCACCAAGACUGCGAUGACUAUGGGGUCUUAAAGGAUGGUCCCACACACUGGUACUGAGACACGGACCAGACUCCUACGGGAGGCAGCAGUGAGGAAUAUUGGUCAAUGGACGCAAGUCUGAACCAGCCAUGCUGCGUGCAGGAUGACGGCUCUACGAGUUGUAAACUGCUUUUAUACGGGAAGAAACUUCUCUCCGUGUAGGGAACUGACUGUACCGUAAGAAUAAGGAUCGGCUAACUCCGUGCCAGCAGCCGCGGUAAUACGGAGGAUCCAAGCGUUAUCCGGAUUUAUUAGGUUUAAAGGGUUCGUAGGCGGAGUAUUAAGUCAGUGGUGAAAUCCUGCAGCUUAACUGUAGAACUGCCAUUGAAACUGGUACCCUUGAGUAUAGUUGAGGUAGGCGGAACGUGUUAUGUAGCGGUGAAAUGCAUAGAUAUAACACAGAACACCGAUUGCGUAGGCAGCUUACUAAACUAUCACUGACGCUAAGGAACGAAAG